UGGAGCAGGGCCAGGAGCUGCCAGGAAAGAGGCAAGAGCAAGGGGAAGGGGCGAGUUCCCAGCCUGGCUCCCUGGGGGCAGGGGACGGGGGGGAGAGGAGCAUGCAGGGCCUGGGGCAUGCGUGGGUGCAGCUGGACUCUCGCCCCUCACACGUGGGAGAAAGCGUGGCUCUUGCACAGCGGCUUGUCCUUCUUGGAGUAGAACGUCUUCCCUUCCAGGUUGGUCUGGCAGAUCUGGGGAGGAGAGGACGCGCAGCCAGCGAGGCUGAGCCAGCGCCCGGCCUACCCUCCUGCGGCUCUGCCCCUGCCAGCUGCCCUGGGACUCAGCACCAGCAUCACGCAGACGCCAGCAAGCGGCAGGCUCAGAGCUGCUGCACAGGGUCUGGAGCCACCAGCACAGAUCGAGGCGGAAAACCUCACCGCAGCAGAGGCCCUGGGCUGCUGGUAGACCCCCAUGGGGUGCACAAGCGCAGCGGGGAGCUGAGGCCCCUUGCUAGCCUCCUGCCAGCACCCAGGGAGGCAGGCAGGCAUGCGACUCACCGCGCAGACAAAGCAAGUGUCGUGCCAGCUGAACCCCAACGCCUCCAGGAACCGGUCCCCAGCAUCGAUCUUGAAGUCGCAGCCACGGCACUUGGUGCCAAACAUCUUCUCGUAGUCUGCGAGGGGAGGCAGAGCCCAGGUCAGCAGACCCCAGGGCUGCAACCCCUCGUCCCAGGGCAGCAGGGCUGCAGCACAGCCUGGCACCCAUACGCGCAGCGCAGGGAACAACACUCUCCCAGCCCCGGUGGGGACAAAGCCUAACGUGCCAGCUCCAUGGCGCGAUGCAGAGUCAGGGCAGCCUGAGAUGCCCCCGUGCCGCUGCGGCACAGCCUGGCACCCAUACGCGCAGCGCAGGGAACAACACUCUCCCAGCCCCGGUGGGGACAAAGCCUAACGUGCCAGCUCCAUGGCGCGAUGCAGAGUCAGGGCAGCCUGAGAUGCCCCCGUGCCGCGCAGGGUGUCCCCGGCUNNNNNNNNNNNNNNNNNNNNNNNNNNNN
This 1036-nucleotide long non-coding RNA is filed under the name Struthio camelus australis. Its description in RNAcentral is "lncRNA (ENSSCUG00000000688.1)". Lineage: Eukaryota; Metazoa; Chordata; Aves; Struthioniformes; Struthionidae. The record is from RNAcentral.